GGAAGGAUCAUUGAAUCUAUCGUGCCCACACCGCGAAAAUACUUAUGCCCUUCUGGAGUAGGCAAACAGUCAUGUUUGCCCUUAAGUUGCGCAGGUCAGGGGCUGGCUCCUUUUGGUGUCAGUUGACUUGACUGGGCGGGUCCAAUACCAUCCGGAUUCACCUUGCCUUCAAUGGCAAGGGGUUCUGCCGGGUGUGAGGGGUGGCGGUUUAACACACUCUAAGCAAUCAUAUCUGAAGACAGAUCUACUGGCUGGCUUUGCUGGCUGUAGUCUGAUUAAUACUGACAACUCUCAACAACGGAUAUCUUGGCUCCCGUAACGAUGAAGAACGCAGCGAAAUGCGAUACGUAGUGUGAAUUGCAGAAUUCCGUGAACCAUCGAAUCUUUGAACGCAAAUUGCGCUCGAGGCCUCGGCCAAGAGCAUGUCUGCCUCAGCGUCGGCUACUACCCUCAAUCAAGUUUCCUAUAUUAAUAGGGGAUGCCGAUUGGAUAUGGCCGUCCGGAUUGCCUUUCAGGCUGCCGGUCAGCUGAAAUAUAUGCACGCUUUGAGAGCUGCUUCCCUUUCGAGGGGAGGCGAGUUCCGAUUUGGUAGGUGACCUUUGCCGGUUACAUGCCUUCGUUGCCCGCUAAGCUUCCCAAAAUGCGUUGUGCAGGACGCCUUUUGGCUUUCGACCUGAGGUCAGGCAAGAACACCCGCUGAACUUAAGCAUAUCAAAUAAGCGGAGGAAAAGAAACUAACUAGGAUUCCCUUAGUAGCGGCGAGCGAACC
This 769-nucleotide unclassified non-coding RNA is filed under the name Trebouxia sp. CBM:FL-205118. Its description in RNAcentral is "partial contains 18S rRNA, ITS1, 5.8S rRNA, ITS2, and 28S rRNA". The stretch from base 287 to 440 matches the Rfam family "5.8S ribosomal RNA". The record is from RNAcentral. Lineage: Eukaryota; Viridiplantae; Chlorophyta; Trebouxiophyceae; Trebouxiales; Trebouxiaceae.